AAAGUUCUUGCCUCUGAACCGAUAGGUCCCGGGUUCGAUCCCCGGUCGGGUCAUGAUGGAAAAUGAUCUUUUUCUGAUUGGCCCGGGUCUUGGAUGUUUAUGUAUAUAUAUAUUUGUUAUAAAAUAUAGUAUCGUUGACUGAAAAUCCGGAAUCAUUUUUCUUUCUCGGGAUAUGUUUUUGGAUUAUAUCAUAUUUGAUGACCAUAAUCGUGUUGGCGGAGCCCUGUCAUCGCACUAGCGAAGAGAGAAAAAAGACAGUGAGCAUCGUCAGUCAUAUGCUUGCCGAGACUCCGAAUCAGGGCGCGCUGGCCUCUCGUCUGAAGGUGUUCUCUCGUCAGCUGAUGAACCAGCGCGCUGCAUACAUGCCCAUGGGUUUCUUCACUUUAAACCGAUCACUUUUGGCUUCAUCAUUUGGAAUAGUGAUUACGCAUAUAGUGAUACUACUGCAGCUGCGAGACGAUUGAAAGAUUCGCUCAUUUUCAAGGGAACGUCGGUGACGAAAAAAUGAAGGUUUUUAAUAAUCAAACACUAUAAUUAGAUGUCUAAUAAUUUAUUUGAUCAGUUUUAUUAAUUAAAAUGAGAUUUAAUAUUUAUUCCGUCACAUUAAAGUAUAUUAGAAAUGCUUUUCGCUUACAAAUCCGUGACGUCGCAUCACUUUACUGUCUGUCAUACAAGCUCCAUAUAGAAUUUUGAUUUUGACGUUAGAAAAAAGUAUCUGGAUUGACUGGUUAGAGAUUAGUCAAUUUGUGUUUUACCAUUGCACCAAUCACGUUGACGUUUCGUAAUUUUUUUCACGAUAAAUAAAUA
This is a long non-coding RNA of Plodia interpunctella (Indianmeal moth), 807 nucleotides long. RefSeq lists it as uncharacterized. The record is from RefSeq and is a predicted model, not a curated record. NCBI's taxonomy places the organism in Eukaryota, Metazoa, Arthropoda, Insecta, Lepidoptera, Pyralidae. The transcript is spliced from 4 exons.